This 491-nucleotide ribosomal RNA is filed under the name uncultured bacterium. RNAcentral describes it as "partial 16S ribosomal RNA". It matches the Rfam family "Bacterial small subunit ribosomal RNA", at positions 29 to 506 of the family's 1533-position model. The record is from RNAcentral.
AGUGAACGCUGGCGGUAGGCCUAACACAUGCAAGUCGUACGGCAGCACAGUAAGAGCUUGCUCUUACGGGUGGCGAGUGGCGGACGGGUGAGGAAUACAUCGGAAUCUACUUUUUCGUGGGGGAUAACGUAGGGAAACUUACGCUAAUACCGCAUACGACCUACGGGUGAAAGCAGGGGAUCUUCGGACCUUGCGCGAUUGAAUGAGCCGAUGUCGGAUUAGCUAGUUGGCGGGGUAAAGGCCCACCAAGGCGACGAUCCGUAGCUGGUCUGAGAGGAUGACCAGCCACACUGGAACUGAGACACGGUCCAGACUCCUACGGGAGGCAGCUGUGGGGAAUAUUGGACAAUGGGCGCAAGCCUGAUCCAGCCAUACCGCGUGGGUGAAGAAGGCCUUCGGGUUGUAAAGCCCUUUUGUUGGGAAAGAAAAGCAGCAGGUUAAUACCCCGCUGUUCUGACGGUACCCAAAGAAUAAGCACCGGCUAACUUCGU